GCUAAAAAUACGAAUAAAUAUAUACAUAAAUAAAUAAUGACAUAACUCUGGGAAGAGGUCCAAAGGCUUCAGCAGGCUUUCUAAGGGGAACAUGGUGCCUGAAAAGGUUAAGGACUCCUGUCUUCAAGCCUUUUGUCUGGAGCCUCUGCUCCACCCUUUGGCUUCAUUUGCUGGUCCCCUGACCCCUACCCCCGGGACUCCAUACUUCAUCUAUAGUGAUCUGCAGAUGGUUGCUCCAGACAUACUCUUCAUGGCCUGAAAGCCUUUGCAAAUGCUUCUCCUUCUGCUUCGAACACUCUUGUCCUUUGCCAAGUUUGGUUCACCCUUCAAGGCUCAACUUUGCUGUCACUUUCCCCAGGAACCCUUCCCCAGUCCCACCACUGCAUUUGGGAAGUGCCAGUGCUCUCAGGGGGACCAUGUACCAGUCUGACCCCCACCAGACUGCUAGUUCCCCCCAGGCAAGGCCUCAGUGUCGUUCUUUAGGGCCCCCAGUGCUUAGCCUAGUGCUUGGCAUGCAGCAGGUGUUUAAUACUCUCAAAAAAUAUCCAUGCACUUCGAGAGCGAGUCACCUCAUUGACUCUUGUGAUGUAGUUGGUACUCACUGCAUUUUGUAAAUGGAGGUGGAAGAGGGGGCAUUAGCCAGUGAUGGCAAGUGGCUGGAGGAAGGGCUUGGGGAUUUAGGGGAUGGCGAGCACCGCGUUUGAAGCAAGAGCACUGCGGGGCAUGGGGGAGACUAGGCUGCAGGGAGAGCAUGAGGCCAGCUGAGCGUGGAGAUGCUGAAGGCCAUACCGUGCAGUUAGGGCCUGACCCCGCUGGCACUGAGGGCAAGGUUGCGCUUGGACCGCUUCCGCCGUCUCCCCCUUCCUGUCUCUGGGGAAGAAGGUCAGGAGAAUGUGGUCACAGGUUUGGCGACAAUUCUUAGUAUCUCAUGCCUCCACCUCCUCUUUCCUGAACUGGGUAUUUCUAGUUCUUUUUUGCCUUUUCCAUUGGAUUGAUAUCUUGUUUCUUCAGGCAGAGUAGGGUCACACCUUGGCUUAGUUAAAAAGAAAGUCAAAAGAGAUAGAUUUUGGCUUUUCCAACACUCACCAGCUGUGUGACCUUGAGUGAGCUUCUUAGCCCCCAAGAAUGAUGUUUCUAAGUACGUGCAGGUUCUCCACCAGACACUUGCUCCCAGCAGGUUGCCUGGCCUGAGUGAUGUCGGAUUUGCUGUCACCUUCCCUGUCUUUGCUCAUCUCGUGCCUUCUACACGUGUGACAGCCCUGCUGGGAAGGUAGGCUCCUUCCAGGUUGUAAAAACCCUGCCCAUCUUUCACGGCCCAACUCAAACGUCCCCUUCUUUUUGGAUGUCUGUGAUGCUGUGUGGCAGCAGGCAAGUUAUUUACCUUCUCUGGCCCCAGUUUCCUCACCUGCCUACCAGAAGCCACCAUGAGGAUCGAAUGAGCCAACAUGUGGAAGUGGCCUUGGGCACCUCGAGGGUGUUUUCGCCCCUUCUUGGGAGCGCCUGCCAACUGGUGUGCACAAGGGCCUUGCUCUUGUCCCCGUUAACACGGAAGGGUCUGUAAUCCCUUCUCUCAGAUGCUCCGUCCCCAGGCACGUGCAUGUUUUUGAUCUCCAGCUUUUGCCCUCCUCUUGCUGCAUCCCCCGUGGAUCUCCUCCAUAAAUCUUUCAGCACUGGCUUCAUAAGCAAUGAGGCCAUAGGCCUGGGUCAUAUCCACAUCAAAGGACUUCUGCAGGAGCUGGUGAUGGAGUUAUCUUCAGAGCCAGCUAGGAGGCCUCUCCAUUUGGCUGUGCCUUGGGGGGCCAGGCCUGGAGCUACCUGUCUUUAUAUGGGCUGACACUCUGGGCAAAGGGUAAAUGCCCCCAAGCAGGUUCUCUAAACACUGGUCUGAAAGAGGGGCUGGCAAAGAGGCCUGCCAUUCCCAGAGGGCCCUAGGGAUGGGCGUUAAUCAACUUUGUUUGGACCCUUGUGCCUCUCUGUUCUGUGUGGCAGGUAUUCUUUGCCCCCAUUUUCCAGACUAGGAAACUGGGGCCCAAAGAGCUUAAGGGAUUUUUUUCCAGGUCACACAGCUUGUGAGUGGCACAGCUAGGACAUCAAGUCUAUGUUGGUCUGCCUCCAAAGCCUCACUUCUCCCCUUAUGCCCCUCUGUCUGUGCACCUGCAGCCCCCAAAUGAGAAGUUUGCUGCAUCCUCUUGGGAGAAGGAAUCUGGCUUGUCCUGGGUAAGGUACCCAGAGAUGCUGCAGGCCUACACCUGUUCCAAUCUGCACAGCAAAGAUGGACCAGGAGUCUGUGAAGGCUGCUGUCUGAAAGGGUCAAGAGGGGAGCCUCUGGACACCCAACAUUGUGACCCGGAGCCAUGAGAACUUCGCAGGGGUGCUGUGGCAUCUGGGGAUUGGGGUGUUAACCAGGCCAUCAAAGUAAUGACAUCCUCUGCCUGCCCGAUGCCUGCCUAGCAGGCAGGAGGGGGCUUUUGACACGCAGCUAGGGGUCUAAUUGGAGUUGUAGCCGCUGGCCUAUACCAGAGCCACAGCAACGUGGGAUCUGAGCCGCAUCUGCAACCUACACCACAGAUCACAGCAAUGCCAGAUCCUUAACCCACUGAGUGAGGCCAAGGUUCGAACCCACAAACUCAUGGUCCCUAGUUGGAUUCGUUAACCACUGAGCCAUGAUGGCAACUCCUGUUUUUUUAAUUUUUAUCUUUAUUUUUUGGCUGUGCCUGCAGCAUGUGGACAUUCCUGAGGCAGGGAUCGAAUCCAUGCCACAACAGUGACCUGAGCUGCUGCAGUGACAACACCAGGUCCUUAGCCCACUGUGCCGCCAAGGAACUCGCAGAGGAAGAGCCUCUUUACUGUGGCUGGAAUGUACAACGCAUGAGAGCAAGUGGUGAAGGCUGAGGUGGGAAAGACAGGUGCUUCCACCACCCUGGGAAGCUGAUGGUCACCUCUCUGAAUCUUUCUACGGUGCCCGCCUCUCUACUUACACCGUUAGGACCUAGAGAUGAGGCACCCUGAAUGCCAGGCUGCUGCCUCAGCAGCUCCAGGCCCAGGUGGUGUGUGCGCAGUAGCCAAAAGAGCCCAGGCCUGGUGGGCGGGGAGGCAGGGCCACCUGGAGUCAGAACAGACCCUCCCACAUGAAGUUUGAAAGGAAGCAUCUUGCAGCUCCGUCUAAUUACAGGGUAAGUGAGCGGGCCUCCCUCACGGUUAAUUUGCUAUGUGCCUUUAUUGCCAGCAGAAGACAGAUGACUCACAGAGGGUAUUCCAUAUAGGCCUGCCAGUAAUUGUCUUUAUGACUUCAUGAGCCUUUUAUGGCCCCCGCUGGGAAAGGUGUUUUAUUUUUCUUCUUUUAAUUCUCCAUUUUCAGUCGGUAAAUAACCAACUUCUUGGGAGCAGGAAGAAUGUCAAGUUCGGGAUCUGGGUGAAGCCAUCCCAACAAGAUAGGCGACGACCAUGAGAAUUGAAGCUGGGGUCAAAGGCAAAGGGUGGAAGGAAUGGGGACAAGGUGACUCACCCAAGAGGAUGUCGCAUGAAUAAUCCUCAACAGUGAUUAAUAUGUACAUCAUCAAAAUUUAAAACUGAAUAAAUGUUUCUUUUCAGCAGAUUUACUUUCUCAAUGAUGCUUGGCUUAGAUUAAUGAUAAUGUGAGUUUAUGUUUCCACUGCUCUGCUUGGAGAGUCGAGGGGAGGAGGGGGGAGUGGGUGGAUGGGGAGGAAAUUUGUGGUGGCCCCCAAGAGUGCUGUGUGGGAGGCUAGCCACAAGCGCAUUAUAUUUAAUUAUUGUCUCGUCUCUCCACGUGCAAGAUGGGCAACAGAUCAUUGUUUGAAUAGAAUGAGAAUGGGAGGUAUGGCACCUCAGUGGCGCUCUGGGGCUGUGACGUACUGGCAUGCAAAAAUGAAUUGUCAAAUUUCCAGGAAUUCUGUGAGCUGUUCUACACGAUGUUGAUAGCUUGAAAUCAGCCAGAGUGGGAUUAUUUACACUGAGGUCAUUGGCAUAUCCUAUAGAGUUGAGCCCCACUCCCAACUCCUACUCUGGUUGUUAAAUAUUGAUCAGCACACCACCGUGGUAGUGAUCCGGUCUUCUAGAGUAUUCAAGCAGGGUGAAGGGCCACUUGGUAGGAUAAAACUACUACAGGUUAACAUUAUUGAUCACUUACUAUGUGCCACACACUAUUCUAAGCACUUUACAUGUAUAGUCGUGAAUCCUCUUAAUAACUCUGGGAUUGAAUUAUUCCUGAGCCUAAUACUGUACCUGGAAGACUGAGACUUAGAGCCAGAAGAGAUUACUAACUUGUAUCAUUCUUCUCUUGUUUUUCAUGGAAUUGACAGUGAGGGGACAUGGCUUGGGCAAGUUCAGUGUCCUUGCAAUGGGUCUACUGACUCCCCAGUCAGGGUCUGUUCUCCUGCUCUUAUUCUUCUGGCUUGCCAUGCAUAGCCCCACCUAAGCCCAGGCAAGAGCUGAACUCAAAGGCUGGGAGCUGAUAAAGGAGGCAGCCCCAGGCCCGAGUCAUGGAAUGAGUCCGGUGGGCUCUGUUUGCGUUGUUCCUCCACCUCUGGCUGCUGGAUAGAGGCUUGACGGCUCCCUGGUGCCUGGGCUCCAUCCUGAGCUACCUCUCCUUCCACUCUGCCAUUGUCUGAGGAUCCCACUGGAAGUAAUUCAGACUUUAGUCUUUCAGAAACAACCACCUGGCGUAAUAAGAAAAAAUAAAAAUAAAAACCCAAGCUGGAGCUCUGCCUGUUAGCCUAGAGCCCUUAGCUUCAGGGAAGUGUGGAAAGAGGUGGAUGGGCUGCAGCUCUCCCAGCCAAAUGAUCAGCCCGGAGAAUUCAAUGCUAACCUUAGCACAGGGGUUCAAGGUAAGCCCAGUGGGGACUGGGAUUAGCCUCUGCAGCUUGCUAUGAUGAUUGCUUCUGGUGUGAAAAAGGUGGCCGGAGUCAAGGCAGAGAGACUCAAGGUGAAAAUCCCCUCAAUUCUUAAAUAUAUAGGCAUAUUCUAAUGUAGACUCCAUUCUACUAUGGUUAACAUUCCAAUGUGAACUAUAGGAUCAGGCAGUUCCAGAGCUAAAGGGCCUUCUAGAAUCCUUUCCCUGCCUCCUGGACUGGAAACCAAGUGUCUCCUGGAGAGCAGGAGGUGUGAAUACCUUUCUGCAGAGCAGGGCUUCCCAGGCAGGGACAAUGGAUUGUUUUCCUCAAUCAGAGAGUGUUGCUGGCAGACGGGCUGCUACAGAAGAAAGACAGACAGGGCUUCUAGUGCUGGUGUGUCUGUGCCACUUUGCACAAAUAAAUUCUCCUCUUUGAGGCUCAUUUUCCUAGUCCAAGUGGAGGUUUCAGAAUGUGUGGUCCCUUCUAGCUCUUAGAUUCUAUAUCCUAAACAAAAAGCAACAAUUCAUAGAAUUACACAUACACACACAAAUUGACAAAUAGAGAAGGCUUUCAAAAUCUCAUUCAAAUGAUUGCUGGAUUUGUCUAUUAGUGAAAUUUGUUUCUUUGCAUGUGCUAAUUGGUCUUGGCAUUAAUUAAUCUGAUUUCAUUAUAUUCUCUUUAAUUUGUCAAGAUAUCAUUUUGCUAUUGGGUGACGGAACACUUGGGAGGAUUGUUAGAAUUGGCACAUGCCCCCCCCAAAGUUCCUGGAGAAAAGUCGUUAUCAAUUAAGUUAAUUUGCAUGCGCAUUAGGUUAAUCGUUUUAGUUUAGCCAAAUUUGUAGAAAUUUACAUAGCAAAUUGACCCUCCACAUUUCACUUAAACAUAUGUAGCACACCGAGUAGUGCAUUUUGAGUUGCUAAUGAAACUGAGGUUAUUUUACACGCUUCUUUUAGUCAAAGAGGUCCAAUUAGACCAAGUAAUUUUUUAUUUCAUCCGUAAUUGCAAAACAAAUAAGCUUCUUGGAAUUUUUUUUUUUUUUUUUUUUUUUUUUUUUUUUCCUAGCAGCAGCAUCACACGGACAGGGCCGUUAAUAAGGAAGUCAUGUUUUCCUAAUUAAGCCCGGUUUGAUUCCUGCUCACUGUACUGGCGUCAGCCUUCUCCAGCCUUCCCCUAGGUACUCUUCUGCCUGAGUUGCUAAGCCUCCUGGUAUACCUAUUAAUAGAAGACUCCCCCACAUGGAGCCAACUGAAUUAAAAAAUGUAACUAGGAAGGCAGGGUGGGAAUUUUGACAGAUUUGUUUUUUAAUUUUUUUUUUUUUUUAAUUCCAGAGAAGAGAAAGUUGAAUUCAAAAAGGGGUCUUGGUUUGCUCCAUCAGGGGAAGAAAAGAGAGAAAAAUAGCUUUUGUUCUCCCCCAGAAAAGAAGCUGGCAUAACACAUUGGUGGUGUUUCAAAAGUGACUCCAGGGGCUAGCUUGUUCAGUGUUGGAAAAUUGGCUGCCAUCUCCCCCUCCAGAAUGAGGGAGCAGUGGAGAGCUUAGAGAAAAGUGGGAGAGUUGCAAAAAAAAAAAAAA
RNAcentral lists this long non-coding RNA (6420 nucleotides) under Sus scrofa (pig). RNAcentral describes it as "lncRNA (ENSSSCG00030062316.1)". Lineage: Eukaryota; Metazoa; Chordata; Mammalia; Artiodactyla; Suidae. The record is from RNAcentral.